UACGUAGGGGGCAAGCGUUGUCCGGAAUCAUUGGGCGUAAAGAGCGCGUAGGCGGCCCUGUAAGUCCGCUGUGAAAGUCAAGGGCUCAACCCUUGGAUGCCGGUGGAUACUGCGGGGCUAGAGUCCGGAAGAGGCGAGUGGAAUUCCAAGUGUAGCGGUGAAAUGCGUAGAGAUUUGGAGGAACACCAGUGGCGAAGGCGACUUUCUGGUCUGUAACUGACACUGAGGCGCGAAAGCGUGGGGAGCAAACAGG
This 253-nucleotide ribosomal RNA is filed under the name uncultured bacterium. Its description in RNAcentral is "partial 16S ribosomal RNA". It matches the Rfam family "Bacterial small subunit ribosomal RNA", at positions 524 to 776 of the family's 1533-position model. The record is from RNAcentral.